UACGAAGGGGGCUAGCGUUGCUCGGAAUCACUGGGCGUAAAGGGUGCGUAGGCGGGUCUUUAAGGCAGGGGUGAAAUCCUGGAGCUCAACUCCAGAACUGCCUUUGAUACUGAGGAUCUUGAGCUCGGGAGAGGUGAGUGGAACUGCGAGUGUAGAGGUGAAAUUCGUAGAUAUUCGCAAGAACACCAGUGGCGAAGGCGGCUCACUGGCCCGAUACUGACGCUGAGGCACGAAAGCGUGGGGAGCAAACAGG
RNAcentral lists this ribosomal RNA (253 nucleotides) under uncultured bacterium. Its description in RNAcentral is "partial 16S ribosomal RNA". It matches the Rfam family "Bacterial small subunit ribosomal RNA", at positions 524 to 776 of the family's 1533-position model. The record is from RNAcentral.